CCUACGGGAGGCAGCAGUGAGGAAUAUUGGUCAAUGGGCGCGAGCCUGAACCAGCCAAGUCGCGUGAGGGAAGACGGUCCUAUGGAUUGUAAACCUCUUUUGUCGGGGAGCAAAAGACGCCACGCGUGGCGUUCCGAGAGUACCCGAAGAAAAAGCAUCGGCUAACUCCGUGCCAGCAGCCGCGGUAAUACGGAGGAUGCGAGCGUUAUCCGGAUUUAUUGGGUUUAAAGGGUGCGCAGGCGGAAGAUCAAGUCAGCGGUAAAAUUGAGAGGCUCAACCUCUUCGAGCCGUUGAAACUGGUUGUCUUGAGUGAGUGAGAGGUAUGCGGAAUGCGUGGUGUAGCGGUGAAAUGCAUAGAUAUCACGCAGAACUCCGAUUGCGAAGGCAGCAUACCGGCGCUCAACUGACGCUCAUGCACGAAAGUGUGGGUAUCGAACAGGAUUAAAUACCCCAGUAGUC
RNAcentral lists this ribosomal RNA (459 nucleotides) under uncultured bacterium. RNAcentral's name for it is "partial 16S ribosomal RNA". It matches the Rfam family "Bacterial small subunit ribosomal RNA", at positions 338 to 795 of the family's 1533-position model. The record is from RNAcentral.